RNAcentral lists this ribosomal RNA (500 nucleotides) under uncultured bacterium. Its description in RNAcentral is "partial 16S ribosomal RNA". It matches the Rfam family "Bacterial small subunit ribosomal RNA", at positions 30 to 523 of the family's 1533-position model. The record is from RNAcentral.
AUUGAACGCUGGCGGCAUGCCUUACACAUGCAAGUCGAACGGCAGCACGGGAGCAAUCCUGGUGGCGAGUGGCGAACGGGUGAGUAAUAUAUCGGAACGUGCCCAGUCGUGGGGGAUAACGCAGCGAAAGCUGUGCUAAUACCGCAUACGAUCUAAGGAUGAAAGCGGGGGAUCGCAAGACCUCGCGCGAUUGGAGCGGCCGAUAUCAGAUUAGCUAGUUGGUGGGGUAAAGGCCCACCAAGGCGACGAUCUGUAGCUGGUCUGAGAGGACGACCAGCCACACUGGAACUGAGACACGGUCCAGACUCCUACGGGAGGCAGCAGUGGGGAAUUUUGGACAAUGGGCGUAAGCCUGAUCCAGCAAUACCGCGUGCAGGAUGAAGGCCUUCGGGUUGUAAACUGCUUUUGUACGGAACGAAACGGCCCUUUCUAAUACAGGGGGCUAAUGACGGUACCGUAAGAAUAAGCACCGGCUAACUACGUGCCAGCCGCCGCGGUAA